AGACGUGCAGUGGUGGAGACCUUGGAAGUGGAUACCGAGCACCAAGAUGUGAAAGUGGAAUUCCUGCAUCCCCAUGGUCCAACACGUACUGUUAAGCCCAGGAAUAGCAGUAAGAAAGAUGUCUGUUCCUGUCCAGUUGGAAACAUAAUAACCAAACUAAUGGACAAUGCAAAACCAACCAAAACGAGGACCAGGGAGAUCUACAGCAUUGAUCCAAAUGUGAUGGACUACAUAGAGCGUGAGCACGUCCGACGCCUAAUGCUCAAGGCAUAAGCACAGUCUCUCCUGAAGUGUGGAUCCCCUCAGACCAGACAACAAGACGCAGACGGACCAACACAACCCAGCAGGAAACGGACGCAGAGGGACAGACAGACACAUGCAGACUGCCGCCCUUCUCCACCACCCCCUCCCUCCCCACCUCCCCCUAUCCCACUCCUCCCUCCUUUCCACUCCACCACCUCCUCCUCCCACUAUCUCCCUCCCCUCCAUAACCUCACCCUCCUUCCUUCCCCUCAACCUCCUCCCUCAUCCACCUCCACCCCUCCCACCAUUGCCCUGCCCCCCACCCCAAUCCGACCAAUCUGUUCUAUGGUUU
This is a long non-coding RNA of Cololabis saira (Pacific saury), 595 nucleotides long. RefSeq lists it as uncharacterized. NCBI's taxonomy places the organism in Eukaryota, Metazoa, Chordata, Actinopteri, Beloniformes, Belonidae. The record is from RefSeq and is a predicted model, not a curated record. The transcript has 3 exons.